Non-coding RNA from Picea glauca (white spruce), 119 nucleotides. NCBI's taxonomy places the organism in Eukaryota, Viridiplantae, Streptophyta, Pinopsida, Pinales, Pinaceae. The record is from Rfam.
GGGUGUGAUCAUACCAGCGUUAAUGCAUUGGAUCCCAUCAAAACUCUGCAGUUAAGCGCGGUUGGGACAGAGUAGUACUGGGAUGGGUGACCUCCCGGGAAGUCCUGGUGUUUCACCCU